UCCCUGGUGGCUCAGAUGGUAAAGUGUCUGCCUGCAAUGCGGGAGACCCGGGUUUGAUCCCUGGGUCGGGAA
This 72-nucleotide transfer RNA is filed under the name Bos taurus (domestic cattle). It matches the Rfam family "tRNA". From Rfam's summary of the family: Transfer RNA (tRNA) molecules are approximately 80 nucleotides in length. The record is from Rfam by way of RNAcentral. RNAcentral also lists the same sequence under 4 other names. Lineage: Eukaryota; Metazoa; Chordata; Mammalia; Artiodactyla; Bovidae.